UACGAAGGGGGCUAGCGUUGCUCGGAAUCACUGGGCGUAAAGGGUGCGUAGGCGGGUCUUUUAAGUCAGGGGUGAAAUCCUGGAGCUCAACUCCAGAACUGCCUUUGAUACUGAGGAUCUUGAGUUCGGGAGAGGUGAGUGGAACUGCGAGUGUAGAGGUGAAAUUCGUAGAUAUUCGCAAGAACACCAGUGGCGAAGGCGGCUCACUGGCCCGAUACUGACGCUGAUGCACGAAAGCGUGGGGGAGCAAACAGG
Molecule: ribosomal RNA, 255 nt
Filed under: uncultured bacterium
Lineage: Bacteria
Description: partial 16S ribosomal RNA
Rfam family: Bacterial small subunit ribosomal RNA
Source: RNAcentral